RNAcentral lists this ribosomal RNA (203 nucleotides) under Symbiodinium sp. clade D. RNAcentral's name for it is "partial Eukaryotic large subunit ribosomal RNA". It matches the Rfam family "Eukaryotic large subunit ribosomal RNA", at positions 2423 to 2630 of the family's 3401-position model. The record is from RNAcentral. Lineage: Eukaryota; Dinophyceae; Suessiales; Symbiodiniaceae.
UGACUCUAGUCCGACUUUGUGAAAAGACAUUGGAGGUGUAGCAUAGGUGGGAGCUCCGGCAACAAUGAAAUACCACUACUCUGAUCGUUUUUUUACUUAUUCAAUUAGGCGGAAUUGGGCUUCAUCGCCCACUUUCUGGAUUUAAGGCGGUUCGCCCGCUGAUCCGAGUUGAAGACAUUGUCAGGUGGGGAGUUUGGCUGGGG